GAUCUUGUAGAACAAAUGUAUUAUCUUUAUGUUCGUGUUGAAAAAGCAAGAGAUCUCCCUAUCAACCCUUUGACUGCAAGCUGUGAUCCCUAUGUUGAAGUCAAACUCGGAAACUACAAAGGAAAAACACAGCAUUUUGAAAAGAGAACAUACGCAGAAUGGAAACAAGUGUUUGCGUUUUCAAAAGAGAAAAUACAAUCAACUGUUCUUGAAGUUUACGUGAAAGAUAAAGACAUGAUUGCAAGAGAUGAUUAUUUAGGGAAAGUCGUGUUUGACAUGAAUGAAGUCCCGACACGGGUCCCACCAGACAGCCCGUUAGCACCUCAAUGGUAUCGGUUAGAAGAUCGAAAAGGAGACAGAAAAGUCAAAGGAGAGGUGAUGCUUGCAGUUUGGAUGGGGACACAAGCGGAUGAAGCUUUUUCAGAAGCAUGGCAUUCAGAUGCUGCAACUGUUCAUGGUGAAGGUGUUUUUAGUGUGAGAUCAAAAGUUUAUGUUUCUCCUAAACUUUGGUAUCUUAGAGUUAAUGUAAUCGAAGCACAUGAUGUCGAAUCGGCUGACAAAAGUCAACUCCCGCAAGUUUUUGUCAAAGCUCAACUCGGGAACCAGAUACUAAAGACGAAAUUGUCCCCAACAAAAACAACAAAUCCGAUGUGGAACGAGGAUUUGGUGUUUGUAGCAGCCGAGCCGUUUGAAGAACAGUUAGUUCUCACACUCGAAAACAAAGCAACUUCAAAAGAAGAGAUCGUGGGUAGAAUCGUCCUUCCACUUACCGCGUUUGAAAAACGGUUAGAUCAUCGAACUGUUCAUUCAAAAUGGUACAAUCUUGAACAAUUUGGAUUUGCAAUGUUGGAAGGUGGACAAAGAAUGGAGCUUAAAUUCUCAACUAGGAUUCAUCUAAGAGUGUGUCUAGAAGGUGGUUACCAUGUUCUAGAUGAAUCUACAAUGUAUAUAAGCGAUCAACGACCCACGGCCCGUCAAUUAUGGAAAAAACCAAUCGGAAUCCUCGAAAUCGGGAUUUUAAGCGCGCAAGGACUUCAAGGGAUGAAAACGAAAGACGGAAAGAAAACAACAGACGCGUAUUGUGUAGCGAAAUACGGACAAAAAUGGGUGCGAACGCGUACGAUUUUGGAGAGUUUUAACCCGAAAUGGAACGAACAGUAUACGUGGGAAGUAUACGACCCGUGUACGGUUGUUAGUUUGGGGGUAUUUGACAAUGCCCAUUUAGGCGGGAAUGGAAACGGAGGGAGUGGAAAGGAUUCGAGAAUUGGAAAGAUAAGAAUCCGGUUAUCGACAUUGGAAACGGAUCGAAUCUACACGCAUUCGUAUCCGCUUCUUGUUUUACAGCCUUCGGGGUUGAAAAAAACCGGUGAGUUACAGUUAGCGUUUCGGUUUACUUGUUUAUCGUUAGCGAAUAUGAUUUAUCUUUAUAGUCAACCUUUACUACCUAAAAUGCAUUAUCAACAUCCGUUGACUAUAAGUCAGCUGGAUACAUUAAGAUAUCAAGCCAUGAACAUUGUGGCAAUUCGGUUGGGAAGAGCCGAGCCUCCGUUAAGAAGAGAAGUGGUUGAAUACAUGUUGGAUGUUGACUCGCAUAUGUGGAGUAUGAGAAGAAGUAAAGCGAAUUUUUUUCGAAUUGUUUCGGUUUUCACGGGUGUGAUUUCAAUGAGUAAGUGGUUAGGAGAUGUUUCGAAUUGGAAAAAUCCCGUAACUACCCUCCUGGUUCAUGUUCUUUUUUUUAUAUUGGUUUGUUUUCCGGAGUUGAUUCUUCCAACUGGAUUCCUGUAUAUGUUUCUUAUUGGAGUAUGGAAUUACCGAUUCCGUCCGCGUCAUCCGCCACAUAUGGACACGAAGCUGUCGUGGGCUGAAGCUGUUCAGCCGGAUGAAUUGGAUGAAGAGUUUGAUUCUUUUCCUUCUUCAAAGCCACAGGAUGUGACGAAGAUGAGGUAUGAUAGGCUUAGGAGUGUGGCUGGAAGGAUACAGACAGUGGUUGGGGAUAUUGCAACACAAGGGGAGAGGUUUCAGGCGUUGCUGAGCUGGCGGGACCCGAGGGCGACCUGUUUGUUUGUGGUUCUAUGUCUUGUGGUAGCUGUUGCUCUGUAUGUGACGCCUUUUAAGCUUGUUGUUUUGGGGAUGGGUUUGUUUUUGUUGAGGCAUCCGAGGUUUAGAAGCAAGAUGCCUUCAGCGCCUAGUAAUUUCUUCAGGAGAUUACCAGCUCGAGCUGAUAGCAUGCUUUGAGGAAGGAGAAGUAAAGGGAAACUAUAGAGUGUUUGGUAUACGAUAUUGUCUUCAUUUUGUAAUUUGUAUUAUGAUUUGAUGUUUUGUUUCGAUUGAAUGUUCAAGUUUAAGUGCUUCAAAAAUUCACUAGCUCAUCUCAUAGACAGAGUAUGUUUUACUGAUUCAAACUUCAGAAUUUAUGAAAUCUCGUCUAAAUUUGAGGACAUUAUAGUCUUCCACAAAAAAUUUGAUUCAAACUUACAGCAUAAAAAUAGCAUUCCUACAAACUUUAAUUCAUCAAAUAGUAGGAUGAAUCUGUAAAUCUCAGCAAAUUCAUCGUAGUGUAGUUCCAGAAAUUACGAAAUAAGGAAGAAAAAAAAAAGCAAGGUAGGAAUUGUUGAUGCAAAAAACGGAGAAGGAUAAAGGAUACCGUCCGAAAGAGCGUAAUGCCAUUGCGAUGAAGAGAGACGGCAGUCAUCGCCGGAAGAGAAGAGAAAGAGAGGCGACAACCCCUUCUUCCCCAAACCACCUCUGCCAUCCUUCUCUUUCCUAAACCCUAAAUUAUUUUCUGAAAAUCUUCGCUUUCUUACUCCUCGCUUAAUUUCCAUUGUAUCUGGUUGGAUGAAUUAGGGUAUUAUGGGAAGACGAGCAAAUUAGAAGAGUUUGCGUUUUUCAAAAAAUAGUCAUUCAUUAGCGUCUUUAUGAAAUCGGCUUUUCCAAGCUGCUCUUGCUCUCAUGUGAUUUUUCGCUAUAAGGCUGGGCGGAGUAAUCACAGCAUUUGCCGAACUCCAUAUCUAAAAAAAAUGGGGUAAGAAGUUAGGAAGAGGAAGAAGAGAGAGACUCGAGUUGCCCUUCCAAGCUCAGUAUGACAUACCGAGUUCAAGGGCGGUGUUCGUCGAGUCCAUGUCAUCACUGCCGAAUCGCUCUGUGAAGUCUAAAAAUCUGAAAUCUUUCAUGGAUAUGGAGGGAAUGUGAGGAUGAUACUUAAAAUUUUCAUUUUGAGAGAAA
RNAcentral lists this long non-coding RNA (3222 nucleotides) under Lactuca sativa (garden lettuce). Its description in RNAcentral is "long non-coding RNA (LSAT_LNC008290)". The record is from RNAcentral. Lineage: Eukaryota; Viridiplantae; Streptophyta; Magnoliopsida; Asterales; Asteraceae.